GAAAGAUCUGCUAAAAGAGUAGUUUUAACUGAUCUGAGAGAAGAGGCUGUUGUUUAUAUUAAUGGAACACCCUUUGUUCUGAGAGAAUUGAAUAAGCCUGUUGAAUCCUUGAAGCAUGUUGGAAUCACCGGUUCAUUGGUGGAACACUUGGAGGCUCGGUUAAAAGAUGACAUUCAAUGUGAGAUUAGACAAUCUGGUGGUAGGAUGCUUCUGCAUCGUGAAGAGUAUAACCCGACUUCAAAUCAAGUUAGUAUCAUUGGAUAUUGGGAGAACAUAUUUGUGGAUGAUGUUAAGACUCCUGCUGAGGUAUAUGCAAGCCUGAAGAAUGAAGGUUAUGACAUAACCUAUAGGAGGAUACCGUUGACUAGAGAGAAAGAAGCCCUGUCUUCCGAUAUUGAUGCUAUCCAAUACUGUAAAGACGACGCUGCAGGAUCUUACCUUUUUGUAUCACACACAGGAUUUGGAGGGAUUGCUUAUGCAAUGGCUAUUAUUUGUUUAAGGCUUGAAGCUGAGGCUAAAUUGUCAUUGGAUAUUCAUCGAUCUUUUGAAAGUACCGGUCUUCCUUGUUCACCUCUAGAGAAUUUCAAUGUUCAAAUUUCUGAUGAAGAAGCACGGAGAAUGGGUGACUAUCGGGACAUAUUAAGCCUCACUAGGGUUCUUGUGCACGGCCCUGAGAGCAAGACAGACGUUGAUGCUGUGAUAGAAAGGUGUGCAGGUGCAGGUCAUUUAGGAGAAGAUAUAGUUCAAUAUUCACAGGAGCUGGAAAGGAAAUUAGAUGAAGAUGAAGAACGUCGAGCAUAUCUGAUGGAUAUGGGCAUUAGAGCUUUAAGGCGAUAUUUUUUCCUGAUCACAUUUAGAUCCUAUCUCUACAGCAGUUCUCCAGCUGAGUUAAGCUUCAAAGAAUGGAUGGAUGCAAGACCUGAACUUGGCCACCUAUGUAAUAACCUUAGAAUCUGACAUAUAGUGUGGAUAGGGUCAACACAUGGCUCUCUGUAUGCAAGUUGACCAGAUUGAGAAAUUGCUG
Molecule: unclassified non-coding RNA, 1024 nt
Filed under: Hevea brasiliensis (rubber tree)
Lineage: Eukaryota; Viridiplantae; Streptophyta; Magnoliopsida; Malpighiales; Euphorbiaceae
Source: RNAcentral